Manis pentadactyla (Chinese pangolin) is the source of this 3372-nucleotide long non-coding RNA. RefSeq lists it as uncharacterized. The record is from RefSeq and is a predicted model, not a curated record. NCBI's taxonomy places the organism in Eukaryota, Metazoa, Chordata, Mammalia, Pholidota, Manidae. The transcript is spliced from 3 exons.
ACAAGUAAAGAUGGGUGUCUGAAGUGGAAAUUUAGGGAAAGAAGCCAGGAAGACAGCCAGCAGACUUUUCAACUGUCUUAUUUGGGAAAUAUGGCUGCCUGGUUCAACUUGAGGGACAUUUUCUGGAUUUGGACAGUGUUUCCACAGGACUGGAGGGCUCACACAAGAGCAUCUCAAUGUCUCAGAUUUAAAAGCAGCAAAGGGAUAUGGCAUCAUGGUUGCUGAAAACACAAGGACUGAUCCCUGGCUGGAAGAAGCCAAAACUGGUAUGGAGGAGAAAAGGGUUUGAACUGAGCGGAGUCGCAAAGAAUCACUGCAGGAACCAUCCCAGACGUGAGAGGCAUCAUCAAGGUGCUCCCUCAGUUGAGAAGUUCCACAGCAGCUUUGGGUUUAAGUGGUCUAAGUAACACUCAGAAUUCUUAAGUUCAAUUUUCCCCAAGCAGAAUAAAAAUGUAAAAUUUCUCUAUCUAGGUUAAACAGAAGGCAUAAUCCAUCUUAAUAAAGACAUUAUUCUUUUUGGUGCCAUAGUUUCCUAAAACUGACUGUGGCUUCAUUCUUUUAUGUGGGUGGUGAGCCAAAAGACAAAAGGAAUGCUUGUGUCUGGGAGACAGGACAGACAAGAGACAGAGCUGGAAAGGCCCCCUGUGGAAUGUGUGAGGGAACACCACCAACCUGCAGCCACCAGCCAAUCCUGGAAGCACCCAGCUCAAAUACAAAGUUUAUGUCUUGAUAGCUAAGUAAGCCUUGGGGAGCACCCGUGGAACAUCUACUAGGGAUGUGAUGAUGAGCAAUAAUUCUUGAAAGGACAUGUCUACACAACAUAAAACUUCAGCUAUUCCCCUGAAGUUCAGAGUAAAGGCAUUAGCCCAUACCAUACCUACCUCCUCCUGAAUUUUGCAAAGUAAUUCAAAAGUUAAGCUCACCAUUCUGUAUCAGCAGUGAGUUCAAUAUACUGGUGUUAUUACAUCAGUGGAAGAAUCGCCUGAUUGCCUGAUUGUCUUUCUCUCUUUGGAUCCCUGCAUUACACUGUGAUAUAGAUGGUGGUGGUGGUGGGGUGUGUGUGUGUGUGUGUGAAGGAGCAGAGGAGAGGAAGACAAAAGCAAAUGGUUUGUGUUAAUCAAGGAUUAUCAUACGUGGGUAACAUAUAAGUUUAGGAAAAAGCAUAAGAGGGGUAAAUAUCAAGAGGCACUUGAUAGAUUCCCUAAUGUUAAGAAAAAUUAUCCAAAACCUGUAAAUAAAGCAAAGACACUAAUUCCAUGUUCUUUUCAAAUCAUACUGAAUCAUUAUUUUACCAAGUCCACCCAAGAUUAAUUAUUUAGUAUAAUGUUAGUUAAGUUACAUGUCUAUGAAGUUGCAUGUUAAUUUAUAAACUUGUUUCCAGCAGAGAUACAUAUUAUUUCUGUGUGGUAGAAAAGAGAACUCCAGAGGUGAUAGCUUAUUUAGGACACCAGCCAGUUUUGUAUCUAACCUAGCAAUCUUAUUCUAAUAUUAUUUUAUUAAAGUGUCUACAAAUGCUCUGUUCCUCAAGUACACCUUUAGCAUCUUACCAGUUCCAUCAUUACUUAACGAGAUUUAAAAAAAAACCUAUAACACACGUUCCUCUUUUUCAUGAGUCAUGUUUUAAACUUUUUAGGAAGCAUACUUUACUACCACCCAUCAACUCCCAUCUUAACAUAAGACCAUAAAAGCCAGUAUCCUAUGGAAAUGCCUGUAACAGCCUCCUCCCCUCCUGUUGUUCCACCCGGACUCUUCAUGGGAACGUUAAGAGAACUCGCGAGGUGCCUUCCUCUCCUCCCACAGGAACUUGUGCAGUUACAGGGCCGACAGAGCUGUACUGCACCAAGAUGGGAAAAGCAAUGCCACUGGAUUUCCAGUGAACUUCUCAGGCUCUCAGACUGAGGAAUCAUGGGCUCCCCUCCCCCCUUCAAGUGUCUGCUGGAUCCAAAGAAUCGUGGCAAUGGCCAGGAACUUUCCAUAUGGACUGAUGGCCUCCUGGCCUGCACUUACGCAUUUUCCUCCCAGAACCAACAAGAGUUGCCCGAUACCAACAUUGUCCCUCUCCUUACCCCCAUUCUAAGAGAGGAGGUCUGCCUGAGUGCUAAGUUCACCCAGCACAUUUAGGGGGCACUCACAGUGUACCAUCUCUUCUCUCUUUCUGGCCUUCUUCUCUACUUGGAAUCCUCAGCACAGAACCUCACCCCAGUCACAUCCAUAUAGGACUUAAACCUCAGAUCACCUACAGCCCAAGAGGCAGACCUUUCUCUCCUCUUCUAUCUCACCUCUCUUCAAAAAUAAAUGUCACUGCAGAAGAAAAUGAAAUGCACAAUAAAGCAUAGAUUAUUUAAGAAAGAAAGCAAGGGCACAUUAAUUACAUUUAAGCCAAAUAAGGUAAUGCAAAACAUUGUUUCUCUCAAAGCUUUUAAAAUUUCAUUCCAUUCAUUUACGUAAGAUGACUGUUUGGUACAGCUGUUUUACUGGUACAGAAAUUACAAAAUUAAGAGAAAAAUAUGGUUUUAGAUUUAUAAAAGAUAAAACAAUCACAAAAUCAUAACAGAGUUCUACUCUCCUUUAAUAUAAUGAAACUAUGAUGCUUCAAAACCUGAUUUUUUUGUUAAUUUUUAAAAUGGUUUCCUCUGUGGGUCUUUCCACUGUGGACCAUGGUAGCCACAGACAGACUCUACCCUUGAUCAUUUUGCCUCUCCUUCUUUGAAGGGGUUGCUGGGAACCUCCUGGAUUCUCUUUCUGUGAGGUGUUAGGCUAUCUACCUACCUAAGUCUGACUCCUGUUAUCUUGCCUGUUAUUAUUUAACAGGAAAUACUGACGUCUUCCUUCCAGAGCAGCAAGCAUUCCUGGGAGAGAAGGAAGGACACUGCCUGCAGGACCUACUCAAUUCCUGAUCUUUCUAACUUCAUCUCCCCAUUCCACAGCUUCCCCCUCCACCACUAAAACCAAAACCCCUUUCCAGCCUCCUGGGCAUAUAUGUAAAGAACUACCCAUCUCUUGGGGAGCACAGGCACCUGGCUUCCUAUACACCACCACAAUCCAAGACACAAUUUGCAAAUCAGAGAGCCUGUGGAUAAUCAUAAAUUCUACUGAGUUUAAAAAUCAGGACCUAAACUAUUUUGUCUCCCUAUUAAUUCCACCGACCCAGCAAUUCCCAAAGUAAGUCAUGUUCAGCUGACAGCGAGAAUGAAGCAUCUUCAGCAAAUAAUGCCCAUCAUUGAAAACACACUACGGUUUGUGACUUUGGGCCACCAGGAUGCACAUGGAGCCAUUUCACCCAUGGUAUUCAAAGGCUCUUUUGGGAGUGUCUAUGCUUCUUUUUCCACAUGUUGUCUUUUCUUUCCAGCUGUUAGUUAGCUCUUUGAACCA